Molecule: long non-coding RNA, 1403 nt
Organism: Apis laboriosa (Himalayan honeybee)
Lineage: Eukaryota; Metazoa; Arthropoda; Insecta; Hymenoptera; Apidae
Exons: 4
Source: RefSeq, a predicted model, not a curated record
UCUCACGGUACGGUUUCCAUGUCGAAUUGUCUUUCGCACUCGACUCUCGAUGAUUACUUUCUUGACGCGAUCGCGUGCCCAACGCUCAUUCGAUGAACGUGCGACAUCUGAUGCGAGUGUGUCAAUGACUGGUGAAAGGUAUCAAUGGAUUUUCCUCUACUGACCCACGACAAGGAACUUUCAAUCUCUAGUCACCUACACGACGAUUACGUGCUUCCACUUACAUAAUCGACGUAGUGUUGCAGGACUUGACACGAACCACUGGUAGGAAGAAAAAAAGAAAAAAUACAUGGUUGAAAGUUGAAAAACAAGUCUGAGGAAGAAGAUAAACUUCUCGAUCAAAAAGAAGUCCUGCAUUUUACAUCGUUACUUCUCUGAAUUCUUGGAUCUCUUGUCUUUCCACUUUCUCUGCAGUUCAAAGGUGAUGGUAGUUGGUCAUCCAACAAAAUAUUGGCUAUUAGAUGAUUGGAGGAUAAAUUAUUUAUAAUAUUUUAAUCUAAAAUACAUCUUCAGCAUUUUCUUAUCUAUACAAUAAAUAAAUACAAUUGUGAAAAAUGCGAAUACGAUCGAAAUUUAUUAUUUGGUGAAAAAUUUUCGAAAGAUUCAAUAGGAUCGUGCUCGAGCAUAAGAAAACUGAUCGAAAAACAAGCCAUGGCGUUGGUCUGAUUAUGAAUCCUGCAAGUUUUAAGGUUCAAUCGAUAACGAAUCUAAAUAUUGGCUUUGUCUUUUAUCAGCGUGCACAAUCCUGAAAGUAGUAAAGUACCCAACCGAUCGUAAUUCUCCGUAUAUCUUAUGUAUACACAGGAAAAGUCAUAAAACUGAGAUGGCGGGAAAUAAGGUCAUCGGUGCAGUCACCCUUGCAAAUCCUAUGAUUCAAAAAAAAAAAAAUGGAAAUUUUAAUAACAAUCAAUAUAAUGAUAUUUUUUUCAAUUAAAUACUAGAUGAAGAAAAUUAAUUUUUUAAGGGGAAAAAAAGGAUCUUCAAACUUAAUUCUUACAAAAUCUCUAAGAUACAAGAUACUUUAAUGAUAUUGGAAUCUCUGAAUUCUAAUGCCGAGAGAUCGAUUGUCGUACUGCGACACUAGUGUUGGAGAGUUGGCACAACUCGAGAGUUGCUGUUCAUGGCUAGCCCUGAGAUCAAACUCCGGACCACUAUCGAGAUCUUCCAAGAUCCUUCUCGUUCGAGAGCAGUUUCAUUAAAUUUAGAUCGCGUGUAUCAUUCGUGCCCUUCUAUUACUCGCAAUUAAUAUUCUUAUAUAUGACAACUGAAAAUUAAUUCUAUCAAAUCUUUUCAUAAGAGUGAAUGACGAUAUUUUAUAUUAUUUAAUUUAUUUUCUUAUUAAUAAUAAAAAUCUUUAUUAUUGUAUUCUAUUGUAAAUAUAAUUUUUAUUCUAUUAAAAUUAA